UACGUAGGGGGCAAGCGUUGUCCGGAUUCAUUGGGCGUAAAGAGCUCGUAGGCGGCUUGGCAAGUCGGGUGUGAAACCUCCAGGCUCAACCUGGAGACGCCACCCGAUACUGCCAUGGCUAGAGUCCGGUAGGGGACCACGGAAUUCCUGGUGUAGCGGUGAAAUGCGCAGAUAUCAGGAGGAACACCGGUGGCGAAGGCGGGUCUCUGGGACGGUACUGACGCUGAGACGCGAAAGCGUGGGGAGCGAACAGG
This 254-nucleotide ribosomal RNA is filed under the name uncultured bacterium. RNAcentral describes it as "partial 16S ribosomal RNA". It matches the Rfam family "Bacterial small subunit ribosomal RNA", at positions 524 to 776 of the family's 1533-position model. The record is from RNAcentral.